RNAcentral lists this ribosomal RNA (507 nucleotides) under Corynebacterium sp. Bacteria_90. Its description in RNAcentral is "bacterial SSU rRNA". It matches the Rfam family "Bacterial small subunit ribosomal RNA", at positions 57 to 582 of the family's 1533-position model. Lineage: Bacteria; Bacillati; Actinomycetota; Actinomycetes; Mycobacteriales; Corynebacteriaceae. The record is from RNAcentral.
GCAAGUCGAACGGAAAGGCCUGCUUGCAGGGGUACUCGAGUGGCGAACGGGUGAGUAACACGUGGGUGAUCUGCCUUGUACUUCGGGAUAAGCCUGGGAAACUGGGUCUAAUACCGGAUAGGCUUUAGUGUGUGUGGUGGAAAGUUUUUUCGGUACAAGAUGAGCCCGCGGCCUAUCAGCUUGUUGGUGGGGUAAUGGCCUACCAAGGCGACGACGGGUAGCCGGCCUGAGAGGGUGUACGGCCACAUUGGGACUGAGACACGGCCCAGACUCCUACGGGAGGCAGCAGUGGGGAAUAUUGCACAAUGGGCGCAAGCCUGAUGCAGCGACGCCGCGUGAGGGAUGACGGCCUUCGGGUUGUAAACCUCUUUCGCUAGGGAAGAAGCCAUUGUGGUGACGGUACCUGGAUAAGAAGCACCGGCUAACUACGUGCCAGCAGCCGCGGUAAUACGUAGGGUGCAAGCGUUGUCCGGAAUUACUGGGCGUAAAGAGCUCGUAGGUGGUUUG